GACGAACGCUGGCGGCGUGCCUAAUACAUGCAAGUGGGACGCAAGGAAACACACUGUGCUUGCACACCGUGUUUUCUUGAGUCGCGAACGGGUGAGUAACGCGUAGGUAACCUGCCUAUUAGCGGGGGAUAACUAUUGGAAACGAUAGCUAAUACCGCAUAAUAUUAAUUAUUGCAUGAUAAUUGAUUGAAAGAUGCAAGCGCAUCACUAGUAGAUGGACCUGCGUUGUAUUAGCUAGUUGGUAAGGUAAGAGCUUACCAAGGCGACGAUACAUAGCCGACCUGAGAGGGUGAUCGGCCACACUGGGACUGAGACACGGCCCAGACUCCUACGGGAGGCAGCAGUAGGGAAUCUUCGGCAAUGGACGAAAGGCUGACCGAGCAACGCCGCGUGAGUGAAGAAGGGUGUCGGAUCGUAAAGCUCUGUUGUAAGUCAAGAACGUGUGUGAGAGUGGAAAGUUCACACAGUGACGGUAGCUUACCAGAAAGGGACGGCUAACUACGUG
Molecule: ribosomal RNA, 505 nt
Filed under: uncultured bacterium
Lineage: Bacteria
Description: partial 16S ribosomal RNA
Rfam family: Bacterial small subunit ribosomal RNA
Source: RNAcentral